GGUACAUGUGCUCACUUGGUACUAAAAUUGGAACGAUACAGAGAAGAUUAGCAUGGCCCCUGCACAAGGAUGACACGCAAAUUCGUGAAGCAUUAAAAAAAAAA
Molecule: small nuclear RNA, 104 nt
Filed under: Salvator merianae (Argentine black and white tegu)
Lineage: Eukaryota; Metazoa; Chordata; Lepidosauria; Squamata; Teiidae
Source: RNAcentral